This 331-nucleotide ribosomal RNA is filed under the name uncultured Shuttleworthella sp. RNAcentral describes it as "bacterial SSU rRNA". It matches the Rfam family "Bacterial small subunit ribosomal RNA", at positions 28 to 339 of the family's 1533-position model. Lineage: Bacteria; Bacillati; Bacillota; Clostridia; Lachnospirales; Lachnospiraceae. The record is from RNAcentral.
GAUGAACGCUGGCGGCGUGCUUAACACAUGCAAGUCGAACGAAGCUUCCGGACGGAUCCCGUCCGGGGAGAAGGAAGGAAUGACUGAGUGGCGGACGGGUGAGUAACGCGUGGGAAACCUGCCCUAUACAGGGGGAUAACAGCCGGAAACGGCUGCUAAUACCGCAUAAGCGCACGGUGCCGCAUGGCGCAGUGUGAAAAGCUCCGACGGUAUAGGAUGGUCCCGCGUCUGAUUAGCCAGUUGGCGGGGUAACGGCCCACCAAGGCGACGAUCAGUAGGGGUUCUGAGAGGAAGGUCCCCCACAUUGGAACUGAGACACGGUCCAAACUCC